Vigna angularis (adzuki bean) is the source of this 2660-nucleotide RNA transcript. It is a transcript of the gene named peroxisomal acyl-coenzyme A oxidase 1, with no coding region annotated. NCBI's taxonomy places the organism in Eukaryota, Viridiplantae, Streptophyta, Magnoliopsida, Fabales, Fabaceae. The record is from RefSeq and is a predicted model, not a curated record. The transcript has 16 exons.
AAAAAGAGUGAAAAAUAUUAAUGAAAAAUGAGAGGAUGAGAAGAAAAAAAGGACAGAAAUAUCUAUUUCCAUUUAGGAUUGGGAACAACAAGCAUGAUUUAUACCAGACCAGCGUGUCGGCCAACACAACACUUGUUUUUGGUAAAAGAGUCAACAUUAUCACGUUUUUUAUUUGUGUUUUUGGUCCUUUGAAAACAUGGUAUAAAACAAGGCAAACACUAUUUUCGUUCAUUCUGAGGGAAGAACUCUGAAUUAAAAGCUUAGCUGUGGUAUUCAGAUUUCCGAAGACGUUGUUAGGGUUUGGUGUGGGGAAAAUGGAAGGUGUCGACCACUUGGCUUUCGAGAGGAAUAAGGCUCAGUUCGAUGUGGACGAGAUGAAGAUCGUUUGGGCUGGUUCUCGUGAAGACUUUGAGCUUUCUGACCGUAUUUCUCGCCUUGUUGCUAGCGAUCCGGUGUUCAGAAAGGAUGACAGAGCUGCGCUUGGUAGAAAGGAAUUAUUUAAGAACACUUUGAGGAAAGCAGCUCAUGCAUGGAAAAGGGUAAUCGAGCUCCGUCUCAGUGAACCGGAAGCUUAUAAGCUCAGAGCUUUUGUGGAUCAACCUGCAUUUACGGAUCUUCAUUGGGGAAUGUUUGUUCCUGCUAUCCAAGGACAGGGCACUGAUGAGCAGCAGCAGAAGUGGUUACCUCUAGCUUAUAGAAUGCAAAUAAUUGGUUGCUAUGCCCAAACUGAACUUGGUCAUGGAUCCAAUGUUCAAGGGCUAGAAACAACUGCAACAUUUGAUCCCAAAACAGACGAGUUUGUUAUCCAUAGCCCCACAUUGACUUCCAGCAAAUGGUGGCCUGGUGGAUUGGGUAAAGUAUCCACUCAUGCUGUUGUUUAUGCCCGUCUAAUUAUUGAUGGUCAAGACUAUGGAGUGCAUGGUUUCAUUGUGCAGCUGCGGAGCUUGGAUGAUCAUUUACCUCUUCCAGGCAUUACUAUUGGUGAUAUUGGCAUGAAAUUUGGAAAUGCAGCUUAUAACACCAUGGACAACGGAGUACUGACAUUUGACCAUGUACGAAUUCCAAGGAAUCAAAUGUUAAUGAGGGUUUCACAGGUUACCAGAGAAGGAAAAUAUGUACACUCCAAUGUUCCAAGACAACUAGUUUAUGGCACCAUGGUAAAUGUGAGACAAAAAAUUGUAGCUGAUGCAUCAGUUGCUUUGUCUCGAGCAGUUUGCAUUGCUACAAGAUAUAGUGCUGUUCGAAGACAGUUUGGGUCGCAUAAUGGAGGUCUAGAAACACAGGUGAUUGAUUACAAAACACAGCAGUCUAGGCUCUUCCCUUUGCUGGCUUCUGCUUAUGCUUUUAGAUUUGUUGGUGAGUGGCUGCUAUGGCUUUAUACGGACGUGACAGAAAGAUUGAAAGCUAAAGAUUUUUCAACAUUGCCUGAGGCUCAUGCAUGCACUGCUGGAUUGAAAUCCUUGACUACUACCGCCACUGCUGAUGGAAUUGAAGAAUGCCGAAAAUUAUGCGGUGGUCAUGGUUAUCUUUGUAGCAGUGGUCUCCCUGAGUUAUUUGCUGUUUAUGUUCCUGCUUGCACUUAUGAAGGUGACAAUAUUGUGCUGCUGUUACAGGUGGCAAGGCAUCUCAUGAAGACUGUUUCUCAGCUGAGCACUGGAAAUAAGCCUGUUGGUACUACAGCUUAUAUGGCUCGACUGGAACAACUGUUGCAAUACCAUUCUGAUGUUAAAAAGGCUGAGGAUUGGUUGAAGCCUAAUGUUGUGUUGGAAGCAUUUGAAGCUAGGGCUGCUAGGAUGUGUGUUGCCUGUGCUCAAAAUCUUAGCAAGUUCUCUAAUCCUGAAGAGGGUUUUCAAGAACUCGCAGCUGAUUUAGUUGAGGCAGCUGUUGCUCAUUGUCAGCUAAUUGUUGUUUCCAAAUUUAUUGACAAGCUGCAGCAAGAUAUAUCUGGAAAGGGAGUGAAACAUAUAUUAGAAGUUCUCUGCAGCGUCUAUGCUUUGUCUCUGCUUCAUAAGCAUCUUGGUGAUUUUAUUUCCACUGGCUGCAUUGACCCAAAACAAGGAUCACUUGCCAACGAGCAGCUAAGAAACUUGUACUCACAGGUUCGUCCUAAUGCUGUUGCACUUGUCGAUGCAUAUAAUUACACUGAUCACUACCUUGGUUCAAUUCUUGGACGUUACGAUGGAAAUGUGUAUCCGAAGUUGUACGAGGAAACAUGGAAGGAUCCUUUGAAUGAUUCAAUUGUUCCUGAUGGCUUUAAAGAGUAUAUUCAACCCUUGCUUAAGCAACAACUACGAAAUGCUAGACUCUAAGAAAUUUACCCUUGACGCCAUAAAUAAGUGACGUGGUUGAUGCAAACCUGCAUAUGCCUCUUGGUUUCUCAGCAGCACACAACAAUGAUAGCUUUCUUUAUCCAUCACAUCAACCAAAAAGCUAAUCCAUAUCGGUCAAGAGCAUUUAAUGAUGUAGGACAUCUAAUUAAGCACGUUAGACUAAAAAUGAAUGGGCAAUCCAACAAAUAAUACACUUUUGCCAACUAAUUUUGGUGAUGUCAUAAUUAAUUCAAACAAAAACAAUACAUUGUUCCAGUAUAUUCUUACAGUACAGGAUAAUUGAUGUCAAGUGUUAAAUUAUUAAAAUUUAUAUUAUUUAAUAUUUUCAAA